GUGGGGUACGGAGAUAUGAAGCCGACGAGUGCUUGGGGAAAGUUAGUGGGGUCCAUGUGUGCCAUCGCCGGGGUCCUAACCAUCGCCCUCCCAGUUCCCGUCAUCGUCAGUAAU
Molecule: regulatory RNA element, 114 nt
Organism: Helobdella robusta
Lineage: Eukaryota; Metazoa; Annelida; Clitellata; Rhynchobdellida; Glossiphoniidae
Rfam family: Potassium channel RNA editing signal
About the family: This family represents a group of sequences related to the human potassium channel Kv1.1 hairpin element which directs the efficient modification of an adenosine to inosine by an adenosine deaminase acting on RNA (ADAR). The ADAR modification causes an isoleucine/valine recoding event which lies in the ion-conducting pore of the potassium channel.
Source: Rfam